CAGUCGCCACGGGAAUACGGAGGGUGCAAGCGUUAAUCGGAAUUACUGGGCGUAAAGCGCACGCAGGCGGUCUGUCAAGUCAGAUGUGAAAUCCCCGGGCUUAACCUGGGAACUGCAUUUGAAACUGGCAGGCUAGAGUCUUGUAGAGGGGGGUAGAAUUCCAGGUGUAGCGGUGAAAUGCGUAGAGAUCUGGAGGAAUACCGGUGGCGAAGGCGGCCCCCUGGACAAAGACUGACGCUCAGGUGCGAAAGCGUGGGGAGCAAACAGGAUUAGAUACCCCAGUAGUCCCUGUCUCUUAUAA
RNAcentral lists this ribosomal RNA (301 nucleotides) under uncultured bacterium. Its description in RNAcentral is "partial 16S ribosomal RNA". It matches the Rfam family "Bacterial small subunit ribosomal RNA", at positions 509 to 809 of the family's 1533-position model. The record is from RNAcentral.